This 3887-nucleotide long non-coding RNA is filed under the name Olea europaea (common olive). RNAcentral describes it as "long non-coding RNA (OEUR_LNC007863)". Lineage: Eukaryota; Viridiplantae; Streptophyta; Magnoliopsida; Lamiales; Oleaceae. The record is from RNAcentral.
AACCUGUGUACUCUCUGCAAUCAAAAAACCUUUUGAGACCUCUUCUCUAGAAAAAUUCUCAAUCCAAAAAUUAUUGUAUAGCUGAAAUACUCUUGUGAAUAUUCAAGGUAUUCUUUUACUUUCUUAAAUUUAUUUUAGAACUUUAGGGACUUCCCGAAAGGAAAAUCCUUAGUUGUAAAUCUUUUCAAAAGAUGAAUUUAUAAAUCCCUAAUUUAUGUUCUCUUGUGUUUAUGUUUAUGUUUUUAAGUAAAUAUUUGUUAUGUUUCUCAUUUCAUCCUAUGCAUAUAAUAAAAGUAUAACUUGAUUUCUAGAAGUCAUACUGUUUUUAGGUUAAUCUUGAGUGACCCAGAUGAAUGAAAAUUUUUGGCCGGAGUGAGCCUUUUGGUGUUUUCUAGAGAUGCUGGGGAAAGGUAAAAAAUUAAUCUAAAAUUUUUAUAAGGGAGUGCCACGGGUAACCUUAUAAAAAGGAAUAAGGUUCAAAUUUAUAUGUCAUAGGUGAUGAAAAAAAAAGGGAAUUUAUAUAUGAUUCUUAAGAAAGAUUUAUAGAAAACUAAGGAGAGUACUGAGUAGUAUUAAAGCUAUUAAAAGUAAAAAAGUUUGAACAAAACAGCAUAAUUAACAGCCAUUUAAAACAGCAUACCCCCCCUAUAUAUAUAUAUAUAUAAUUCGAUGCUUUAUCUUAUUUGGUUUAAGUAAUUAACUAUGGUCAAUUGGAUGGUUGUAGAAAAAUGAAUAGAUUAAGAGAUGUAAAUUCGUAAUAUUUCAAAUUAUUUGAAACGUUUUAUAUUAUUAUUUUUAGAUUUUGAAUAUUUUAUUUAAUAAAAUUUUAGCAUCGUUAAUCAUUAUGUAUUUUUAAUAUUUAAAGAACCCAUUUUAAAAUUGGCCUAACAUCCCCAAAAUUUCAAGGUGGACUUUGAACCUAGGAAAUGCUAUGCUUCGGGACAUGGUUCUUUUGCUUGCUGUCCAAUAGUUUUUAUUAUUUAUUAUUUUUCAAGUUUAUAUCAGUCCUAUUUGAUCCUCAUUAAAUUUUACUUCGUAUUUAUCUCUCCUAUUUCUAACUACACAAUCUUCUAUAAAAUAAUAUUAUACGUAAACAAAAUUUUUUUCCUUCUUUUUAAUCACUCAUUUUUCAUAAAAGUAUUAUUUCACCUAUUUUCAUUUUAAAAAAUGGGGGUCAAACAUGGGUCGAUAUACUAAGCUCUCGUUUGAUGGUGCUAUUAUGUGGUCAAAACAAUAUUUUGAAAAGUAAUUUUUAGGAGAAUGUGUGGUUAAAAGGUAAAGUAAAAUUUUGGAUUUACGUGCAGAAUAUUUUAUUGUAUGAAUAUAUGGUUGAAAAUGAAUAUAAAGAUAAAAGAGUUUUCAAAUAAUGGUUGCCAAACAUAGGUUAAAUAGCUAAUGUCGAACAAAAUACCAAUUAGUUUUUUCAUUGAAUAGCUUCUUUUAGGGGCGGUAUGUUUCUAUUUUUUGGUUCCGCUUCUAAGAGAACCGAAUCAUGAGCCAAUAAUUUUUUUCAUAAAAGAAUUAAUGAUAUGGAAUCAAAUUGGAGCCAAAUCUUUCGAUUUUGGAUUGAUUUGAUUUAGUUUAAUUCCACUAUUUAAAACUUCAAAUGAUAAAUAUAAAUUAAAAUUUAUCACCAUAUUCAUAAGUUAGUAAUUUAUGUUUAAAUAAAAAAAUGAACAUCAAACUUUUAGCAAGUUCAAAUUAUCAAUCGUCAAAUAAAAUAUUGUAUAAUAAAAUUAAUUAUAAAAGUCCAAACUAACAAACAAAACAUAUUCAUAAUUUGAAUACACAAACAUCAAGUUUAAUCAUCAUACAAAAUAUUGUCUAAUAACAACGAUUCAAUAAUACAGACGAAUGAGUGACUAAAAAAAAUAAUAGUAAAUAAAAUUAAAUCAACAGUAACUUCUUGAAAUUCCGGUGUUUGAAUUAAAAAUAAAGUCUUGGAAAACAGUAGCUUUGAAUUUGAAUUAAACAAAUCUGAUCUGAAUUUAAAUACAUCAAAUUAGACCUUCGAAUUUCGUGCGUCUAGUGUUUUAGAAUCUGUCCAUUUUCAUCAACAGCAGCUUCUUGAAAUUCUAGUAUCUUCCUCUGCUUAGACUGCUUGAGCUGUAGCACUUAGAGCCUGUUUUUCUUCCAUCAUGGUAAAUUAUAUAGUUUUGAAUAGUAUUUUUUGAAAAAUGUGUGGUUAAAAUUUAAAGAAAUUUUAUUGAUUUAUGUGUAGAAUAUUUUAUUAUGUGAAUAUAUGACGAAAAUUGUUACUGUAACAAAUAAUUUAAUUCAUUAAAUGAUGACAAACAGGGACUUAAUCUUUUUUAAUAUAACAACCAAAACGACAAAUUAAACCUUAUUAAAAGGAUAUUUGAGUGCACUUGGAACAUUCUGGUAUUCAGAUUCCACGAGGGCAUUUAUUAAUUUGGAUAAUAUUAAACUACUAUGUCAACAACUUCAAAACGUGUAGAACAACAAAUAAUUUAUCUAAAAUUUCUUUAUAACGUAUGAAUUUCGUAUAAAUUUGACCCACACACAAAGAAAGAAGAUCUAAACACUGGAAAUUACAUAAAAUCAGGUACUUAAAUUUUCAAAUUCAAAAUUUAAGGAUGAGAUUUAUUUAUGCACAAAUCAGGUAUUAAUAAAUAUAUCCAUCAAUUUCAAACCCAUUUCCCGUCUCUCUCUUCUCUCUCUAAACACACACAGUGACAGUAGCAGUCUUCUUUCUGGCGUUUGUUUUGUGCAAUGCAGCAGCACCGGUGCUGCUCCCAGCGUGAGUGUCGGUGCUACAACAGCAGUAGUGUUUCUGGCGUGCGUAGCUGCUGCUUUAUGGGUUUUUUGGGUGGGAUGCUGCGAUGAAGCUGCUCGCACUCGAUCGUUGCAGAUGAUGGCACUGUAGAUCUUGUCGCUGCAGCGAUGAUGACAAUGCGAUGACGGUCGCUGCAAUCGCAACUUCAAAUGGAGGUACAUGUGAGGUUGGGUUCUUUUUUUCGCUGCAGCGGUGCAGCGCUCAUUACGAACAUUGUGGUGUGGUUUGGCGAUUUGGUGGCGCGAGUUCGAUCUGGCGGUAUUGUGUGGUGUGGCGAUGCGGUUGCUUGAGUUGGUGGCUGUAGCACUGUAUAGGCGAUGGUGUGGUGGUCGGCAACGAUGCAUUGUGGUUAUGGUGGUGGCGGCGAGUCUGUGGAAUCUUUGAUAGGGGUGGUGGUUGGGUAUGGUGUAAUUGGAGAUUGAAGAGAUGGUGGUGGUGUGUGCUGUGGGUGGUGCGGUGGUGGUGUCUUGUGAGCGUGGUGGUGUUAUAGCACUAUGGUACUCAUGACGGUGGUUGCAGGAGGUGGUGUGCUCAUAUUGGUGAGGUGAUGGUGGUUUUGAAGGCCGUGGUGCCCAACUAUUGAAUUCAUCAUCAAUUUUGAGAGGUUUAUAUAUAUUACAAAUUGCUUAUAUUUUUAUCUUAUAACUUACUAUUUUUGAAAUGUUAAAUACAAUAUAGUCGUAUUUAUUCAAAACUUUCAAAAUUAUUAUUCAUUAAUUUGUUUGGUUUUUCAAAUCUUUUUGAAUAAAGAUUCAAUCCUCUACAAAAUAUGAAGGAUUUCAUAUUAAAAGAAGCAUUGAGUUAUUUAUUUGGGAAGAUGUUGAUAGUUGAGAAUUGAUUAUCACCAUUAAUGUUUUGAAUAAUUUCUUCCAAUCAAACCUAAUAAAUAUUUUCAAGGAUUGUCUCUUUAAUGAUUUACUGUGCAAAUUAUUUGGAAAGACGAUUUUCUUAUUCGGUAGUACAAUAUUGAUGACCACACUUAAUGUGAUGAAGAAUUUGUUCCAAUCACCCACGUAUAUGCUUCUCGUCAAUUUCGAUAGUUCAAUUGUUGAAUUCGAUAAUUAAAAACCGUAGGGUUAGACAUUUUAGC